Molecule: ribosomal RNA, 597 nt
Filed under: Paratylenchus sp. D PRS-2020
Lineage: Eukaryota; Metazoa; Nematoda; Chromadorea; Rhabditida; Tylenchulidae
Description: partial large subunit ribosomal RNA
Rfam family: Eukaryotic large subunit ribosomal RNA
Source: RNAcentral
CGAGUUGCUAAUCACGCUCGGCUCGCCUUUUGCCACUGGCUGAGGUGCAUUUGCAGGCGUUUGCGCUGAGACUUGCGGUUCAGCUUCUGGACCCGGGCCUAGAGGCUGUCCUCUGGGCAGAACUUGGGCACGGCGACGGUUGUUUGGGCUGCUCGUACCACGGCUUGGCCUACGGACUGGGGCGCUGUCGUUGUUUUCGGGCGUUGGCAUCGCAUGCGAUGACUCGUUCGGGGGCUGCGGCUGUGUUUCACGUUCCCAAGUCGGCUCUCGGUGUAAAAGCUGGUCACCUAUCCGACCCGUCUUGAAACACGGACCAAGGAGUUUAGCGUAUACGCGAGCCAUUGGGUGAUCAAACUCACAGGCACAAUGAAAGUGAAGGCCCAGCCGCUGGGCUGACAUGCGAGUCGGUGGCCCUCGGGCUGCCGAUGCAGCAUGGUCCCGUUCCAGUCGCUUGCGACGGAGCGGAGACAGAGCGUAUGCGCUGAGACCCGAAAGAUGGUGAACUAUUCCUGAGCAGGAUGAAGCCAGAGGAAACUCUGGUGGAAGUCCGAAGCGAUUCUGACGUGCAAAUCGAUCGUCUGACUUGGGUAUAGGGGC